GUUCAGAGCCCGACCCAGCGGCGGCGGGAGGAGGGGAGUGCGUUUUCAUCACCCCAAGUUGGCCAAGCUCCGUGCCAGGUUUCAUCUUACUUCAUUCUGAUUAUCGACAUCUCACUGCCGAGGAAACAGACUUGCAGACACCGAUGAGAAAACUUAGGAGCCAGCUGGGGAGGGAGGACUGGCCCAAAGUCACAGUCAACAGGAGGAAGCGGCGCGCGCCUAGCUACGCAAAACCGUAUUGGACUCGGGGAGCCAGGGG
Molecule: long non-coding RNA, 259 nt
Filed under: Homo sapiens (human)
Lineage: Eukaryota; Metazoa; Chordata; Mammalia; Primates; Hominidae
Description: HSALNT0302269
Source: RNAcentral